CCCUUAGAUGUUCUGGGCCGCACGCGUGCUACACUGAGUGGAUCAGCGGGUCAGGUUGCGCGAAAGUGUUUCCUAAUCUUGAAAUCCGCUCGUGAUGGGGAUUGACGGUUGCAAUUUUCCGUCAUGAACGAGGAAUACCUUGUAAGCGCGGGUCAUCAUCCCGCGCUGAAUACGUCCCUGCCCUUUGUACACACCGCCCGUCGCUCCUACCGAUUGAAUGCUCAGGUGAGCCAUUCGGACUUUCAUCAUGCUGGUUUCCAGUUUUGAUGAAGGAAAGUCUUGCGAACCUUAUCAUUUAGAGGAAGGAGAAGUCGUAACA
RNAcentral lists this ribosomal RNA (319 nucleotides) under uncultured eukaryote. Its description in RNAcentral is "partial 18S ribosomal RNA". It matches the Rfam family "Eukaryotic small subunit ribosomal RNA", at positions 1470 to 1796 of the family's 1831-position model. The record is from RNAcentral.